RNAcentral lists this long non-coding RNA (248 nucleotides) under Mytilus galloprovincialis (Mediterranean mussel). Lineage: Eukaryota; Metazoa; Mollusca; Bivalvia; Mytilida; Mytilidae. The record is from RNAcentral.
GAUUAGUUGUUUGACAAACUGUUAAUUUCAUUUUUAUACGACCGCAAAAAUUGAAAAAAAUUUGGUCGUAUAUUGGUAUCAAGUUGGCGUCGUCGUCGUCAUCGUCCGAAGACAUUUGGUUUUCGCACUCUAAUUUUAGUAAAUGUAAAUGGAAAUCUAUGAAAUUUAAACAAAGCCAGAACUGUGUAUAAAGAGGCAAAUAAUGCUAUGAAAAAUGCAGGAGAAAAAGAAAAGAAACUUAUGUUGUU